RNAcentral lists this ribosomal RNA (497 nucleotides) under uncultured bacterium. RNAcentral's name for it is "partial 16S ribosomal RNA". It matches the Rfam family "Bacterial small subunit ribosomal RNA", at positions 28 to 507 of the family's 1533-position model. The record is from RNAcentral.
GAUGAACGCUGGCGGCGUGCCUAAUACAUGCAAGUCGAGCGAACGGACGAGAAGCUUGCUUCUCUGAUGUUAGCGGCGGACGGGUGAGUAACACGUGGAUAACCUACCUAUAAGACUGGGAUAACUUCGGGAAACCGGAGCUAAUACCGGAUGAUAUUUUGAACCGCAUGGUUCAAAAGUGAAAGACGGUCUUGCUGUCACUUAUAGAUGGAUCCGCGCUGCAUUAGCUAGUUGGUAAGGUAACGGCUUACCAAGGCAACGAUGCAUAGCCGACCUGAGAGAGGGAUCGGCCGCACUGGAGGUGGGACACGGUCCAGACUCCUACGGGAGGCAGCAGUAGGGAAUCUUCCGCAAUGGGCGAAAGCCUGACGGAGCAACGCCGCGUGAGUGAUGAAGGUCUUCGGAUCGUAAAGCUCUGUUAUUAGGGAAGAACAGAUGUGUAAGUAACUGUGCACAUCUUGACGGUACCUAAUCAGAAAGCCACGGCUAACUACGUG